AGUGACUAAAAAUAAAGAGACCAAUCCUUUGGAUUGGUUAUUUCAAUGAGUUGAGCUUAAAUAGCUCUUCGAGGACCCAGUGGAGGGCAAGUCUGGUGCCAGCAGCCGCGGUAAUUCCAGCUCCACUAGUAUAAAUCGUCAUUGCUGCGGUUAAAAAGCUCGUAGUUGGAUUUGAGGCACGUACAGCGGUUCGGCUCUGCCGUUAAUCACUGUUGUGUCUAAUUUGUUGGUUUUCUGUUGGUAACUUCGGUUCCUUCAGUGGCUAGCAAGUUUACCUUGAUCAAAUCAAAGCGCUCAAAGCAGGCGAUUGCUUGCAUUUGGGAUCAUGGAAUAAUAAAAUAGGAUUUCGAUUCUAUUUAUUGGUUUAGAAUUGAAUUAAUGAUUAAGAGAGACAAUUCGGGGGCAUUCGUAUCCCUGCGCGAGAGGUGAAAUUCGUGGACCGCAGGGGGACGUCCAAAAGCGAAAGCAUUUGCCAAGAAUGUCUUCAUUAAUCAAGAACGAAAGUCAGAGGUUCGAAGGCGAUUAGAUACCGCCCUAGUUCUGACCGUAAACUAUGCCAUCUAGCGAUCCGAUAGGGUAUUCAUGCCUUGUCGGGGAGCUUCCCGGAAACGAAAGUUUUUCGGUUCCGGGGGUAGUAUGGUUGCAAAGCUGAAACUUAAAGAAAUUGACGGAAGGGCACCCACCCAGGA
This 689-nucleotide ribosomal RNA is filed under the name Rhabditella axei. RNAcentral describes it as "SSU rRNA". It matches the Rfam family "Eukaryotic small subunit ribosomal RNA", at positions 466 to 1175 of the family's 1831-position model. The record is from RNAcentral. Lineage: Eukaryota; Metazoa; Nematoda; Chromadorea; Rhabditida; Rhabditidae.